UGGUUUCAAAGUGGGUGGUGCCUUGACCAUAUUUUCUAGACAUCUAGGAGAGAAAUAACUAACUCCAUAGAAUUUUUAUGGGUGUCAGCUAUCCCGUCAGCUGUUCCAUUUCGCGUGGCUUUGGACUGAGGAUGGAUGCUUAAACGUACGUGUCUCCUCUUGAAAUUCAGGAUGGAUGCUUAAACAACCGUCUCUCUUCUUGAAAUUUCACCACCGAUUCCGUUUUUUUAGCUGCAUCUUUGAAUUCAAUCAAUGCAGAGUUGUCACAGUUUUUAAGGAGGAGCAUGGCUUGGCUUUCUAACACGUUUUCAUUCCGUUAGUCUAAUACACCCAUUUUGUACUAAUGGUGAUAAGUAAAGAAAGUAGUUCUAUAUAAUCUUUUUCCCUAUCUAGAUCUCGAAGAUUCUUGGAGGUGACAUUAUGUGAUGUUAGAAUUUAUUGUUAACAGUUCAAGGUUUUUUUUAAAUUGUACUUUCAGAUCUUCGGGAUUCACCUGAUGUGCUGUGGUGGCCGCAGAAUCAUUCAGUGACGAAGGAAUGCUGUUGUUGUUCUGUUAGUUAAAUACAAUAUUUCCAGUAUUAA
This is a long non-coding RNA of Daphnia magna, 582 nucleotides long. RefSeq lists it as uncharacterized. The record is from RefSeq and is a predicted model, not a curated record. Lineage: Eukaryota; Metazoa; Arthropoda; Branchiopoda; Diplostraca; Daphniidae. The transcript is spliced from 2 exons.